Molecule: ribosomal RNA, 503 nt
Filed under: uncultured bacterium
Lineage: Bacteria
Description: partial 16S ribosomal RNA
Rfam family: Bacterial small subunit ribosomal RNA
Source: RNAcentral
AUUGAACGCUGGCGGCAGGCUUAACACAUGCAAGUCGAGCGGGGUGAUGGUGCUUGCACUAUCACUUAGCGGCGGACGGGUGAGUAAUGCUUAGGAAUCUGCCUAUUAGUGGGGGACAACAUCUCGAAAGGGAUGCUAAUACCGCAUACGUCCUACGGGAGAAAGCAGGGGAUCACUUGUGACCUUGCGCUAAUAGAUGAGCCUAAGUCGGAUUAGCUAGUUGGUGGGGUAAAGGCCUACCAAGGCGACGAUCUGUAGCGGGUCUGAGAGGAUGAUCCGCCACACUGGGACUGAGACACGGCCCAGACUCCUACGGGAGGCAGCAGUGGGGGAUAUUGGACAAUGGGGGGAACCCUGAUUCAGCCAUGCCGCGUGUGUGAAGAAGGCCUUAUGGUUGUAAAGCACUUUAAGCGAGGAGGAGGCUCUUUUGGUUAAUACCCAAGAUGAGUGGACGUUACUCGCAGAAUAAGCACCGGCUAACUCUGUGCCAGCAGCCGCCGUAA